AACGAACGCUGGCGGCAGGCCUAACACAUGCAAGUCGAGCGAGGACUUCGGUCCUAGCGGCGGACGGGUGAGUAACGCGUGGGAACGUGCCCUUUGCUUCGGAAUAGCCCUGGGAAACUGGGAGUAAUACCGGAUGAGCCCUUUGGGGGAAAGAUUUAUCGGCGAAGGAUCGGCCCGCGUUGGAUUAGGUAGUUGGUGGGGUAAUGGCCUACCAAGCCGACGAUCCAUAGCUGGUUUGAGAGGACGAUCAGCCACACUGGGACUGAGACACGGCCCAGACUCCUACGGGAGGCAGCAGUGGGGAAUCUUAGACAAUGGGGGAAACCCUGAUCUAGCCAUGCCGCGUGAGCGAUGAAGGCCUUAGGGUUGUAAAGCUCUUUCAGCUGGGAAGAUAAUGACGGUACCAGCAGAAGAAGCCCCGGCUAACUCCGUG
Molecule: ribosomal RNA, 433 nt
Filed under: uncultured bacterium
Lineage: Bacteria
Description: partial 16S ribosomal RNA
Rfam family: Bacterial small subunit ribosomal RNA
Source: RNAcentral